UGCAGUCGACGGUGAAGCCCAGCUUGCUGGGCGGAUCAGUGGCGAACGGGUGAGUAACACGUGAGCAACCUGCCCUCCACUUCGGGAUAAGCCUUGGAAACGGGGUCUAAUACCGGAUAUGAGCUCGCAUCGCAUGGUGUGGGUUGGAAAGUUUUUCGGUGGGGGAUGGGCUCGCGGCCUAUCAGCUUGUUGGUGGGGUGAUGGCCUACCAAGGCGUCGACGGGUAGCCGGCCUGAGAGGGCGACCGGCCACACUGGGACUGAGACACGGCCCAGACUCCUACGGGAGGCAGCAGUGGGGAAUAUUGCACAAUGGGCGCAAGCCUGAUGCAGCGACGCCGCGUGAGGGAUGACGGCCUUCGGGUUGUAAACCUCUUUCAGCAGGGAAGAAGCGCAAGUGACGGUACCUGCAGAAGAAGCGCCGGCUAACUACGUGCCAGCAGCCGCGGUAAUACGUAGGGCGCAAGCGUUGUCCGGAAUUAUUGGGCGUAAAGAGCUCGUAGGCGGUCUGUCGCGUCUGGUGUGAAAUCCCGAGGCUCAACCUCGGGCUUGCAUCGGGUACGGGCAGACUAGAGUGCGGUAGGGGAGACUGGAAUUCCUGGUGUAGCGGUGGAAUGCGCAGAUAUCAGGAGGAACACCGAUGGCGAAGGCAGGUCUCUGGGCCGCAACUGACGCUGAGGAGCGAAAGCAUGGGGAGCGAACAGGAUUAGAUACCCUGGUAGUCCAUGCCGUAAACGUUGGGCACUAGGUGUGGGGCUCAUUCCACGAGUUCCGUGCCGCAGCUAACGCAUUAAGUGCCCCGCCUGGGGAGUACGGCCGCAAGGCUAAAACUCAAAGGAAUUGACGGGGGCCCGCACAAGCGGCGGAGCAUGCGGAUUAAUUCGAUGCAACGCGAAGAACCUUACCAAGGCUUGACAUGUACGAGAAAGCCCCCGAGACGGGGUUCUCUUUGGACACUCGUACACAGGUGGUGCAUGGUUGUCGUCAGCUCGUGUCGUGAGAUGUUGGGUUAAGUCCCGCAACGAGCGCAACCCUCGUCCUAUGUUGCCAGCGGGUUAUGCCGGGGACUCAUGGGAGACUGCCGGGGUCAACUCGGAGGAAGGUGGGGAUGACGUCAAAUCAUCAUGCCCCUUAUGUCUUGGGCUUCACGCAUGCUACAAUGGCCGGUACAGAGGGCUGCGAUACCGUAAGGUGGAGCGAAUCCCAAAAAGCCGGUCUCAGUUCGG
This 1225-nucleotide ribosomal RNA is filed under the name uncultured bacterium. Its description in RNAcentral is "bacterial SSU rRNA". It matches the Rfam family "Bacterial small subunit ribosomal RNA", at positions 56 to 1296 of the family's 1533-position model. The record is from RNAcentral.